UAGGGAAUCUUCCACAAUGGACGCAAGUCUGAUGGAGCAACGCCGCGUGAGUGAAGAAGGUCUUCGGAUCGUAAAGCUCUGUUGUUGGUGAAGAAGGAUAGAGGCAGUAACUGGUCUUUAUUUGACGGUAAUCAACCAGAAAGUCACGGCUAACUACGUGCCAGCAGCCGCGGUAAUACGUAGGUGGCAAGCGUUGUCCGGAUUUAUUGGGCGUAAAGCGAGCGCAGGCGGAAUGAUAAGUCUGAUGUGAAAGCCCACGGCUCAACCGUGGAACUGCAUCGGAAACUGUCAUUCUUGAGUGCAGAAGAGGAGAGUGGAACUCCAUGUGUAGCGGUGGAAUGCGUAGAUAUAUGGAAGAACACCAGUGGCGAAGGCGGCUCUCUGGUCUGCAACUGACGCUGAGGCUCGAAAGCAUGGGUAGCGAACAGGAUUAGAUACCCUGGUAGUCCAUGCCGUAAACGAUGAGCGCUAGGUGUUGGGGACUUUCCGGUCCUCAGUGCCGCAGCAAACGCAUUAAGCGCUCCGCCUGGGGAGUACGACCG
This 542-nucleotide ribosomal RNA is filed under the name uncultured bacterium. Its description in RNAcentral is "partial 16S ribosomal RNA". It matches the Rfam family "Bacterial small subunit ribosomal RNA", at positions 355 to 888 of the family's 1533-position model. The record is from RNAcentral.